This 76-nucleotide transfer RNA is filed under the name Bacillota bacterium. Its description in RNAcentral is "tRNA-Pro". It matches the Rfam family "tRNA". Rfam says of the family: Transfer RNA (tRNA) molecules are approximately 80 nucleotides in length. Their secondary structure includes four short double-helical elements and three loops (D, anti-codon, and T loops). Lineage: Bacteria; Bacillati; Bacillota. The record is from RNAcentral. RNAcentral also lists the same sequence under 5 other names.
CGGGGUGUGGCUCAGGUGGUAGAGCGCUUGGUUCGGGACCAAGAGGCCGCAAGUUCAAGUCUUGUCACUCCGACCA